This 252-nucleotide ribosomal RNA is filed under the name uncultured bacterium. RNAcentral describes it as "partial 16S ribosomal RNA". It matches the Rfam family "Bacterial small subunit ribosomal RNA", at positions 524 to 776 of the family's 1533-position model. The record is from RNAcentral.
AACGUAGGACACAAGCGUUAUCCGGAGUUACUGGGCGUAAAGGGCGCGUAGGCGCCUGUUAAGUCGAACGUGAAAUCCCCGGGCUCAACCCGGGAACUGCGUCCGAUACUGGCAGGCUUGAAUUCGGGAGAGGGAUGUGGAAUUCCCAGUGUAGUGGUGAAAUACGUAGAGAUUGGGAAGAACACCAGUGGCGAAGGCGGCUAUCUGGACGGUUUCUGACGCUAAGACGCGAAAGCGUGGGGAGCAAACAGG